CUUACGGGAGGCAGCAGUAGGGAAUCUUCCACAAUGGGCGAAAGCCUGAUGGAGCAACGCCGCGUGAGCGAAGAAGGUCUUCGGAUCGUAAAGCUCUGUUGUAAGGGAAGAACAAGUGCAGUAGUAACUGGCUGCACCUUGACGGUACCUUACUAGAAAGCCACGGCUAACUACGUGCCAGCAGCCGCGG
RNAcentral lists this ribosomal RNA (190 nucleotides) under uncultured Bacillus sp. RNAcentral's name for it is "partial 16S ribosomal RNA". It matches the Rfam family "Bacterial small subunit ribosomal RNA", at positions 338 to 520 of the family's 1533-position model. RNAcentral also lists the same sequence under 1 other name. The record is from RNAcentral. Lineage: Bacteria; Bacillati; Bacillota; Bacilli; Caryophanales; Bacillaceae.